GCACAAGCGGUGGAUGAUGUGGUUUAAUUCGAUGCAACGCGAAAACCUUACCACCUUUGACAUGGCAGGAAUCCUGAAGAGAUUUGGGAGUGCUCGAAAGAGAACCUGCACACAGGUGCUGCAUGGCUGUCGUCAGCUCGUGUCGUGAGAUGUUGGGUUAAGUCCCGCAACGAGCGCAACCCUUGCCAUUAGUUGCUACGAAAGGGCACUCUAAUGGGACUGCCGGUGACAAACCGGAGGAAGGUGGGGAUGACGUCAAGUCCUCAUGGCCCUUAUAGGUGGGUUACACACGUCAUACAAUGGUCGGUACAGAGGGUUGCCAAGCCGCGAGGUGGAGCCAAUCCUAAAAAGCUGGCCUCAGUUCAGAUUGCAGUCUGAAACUCGACUGCAUGAAGUCGGAGUUGCUAGUAAACGCAGGUCAGCUAUACUGCGUUGAAUACGUUCCCGGGGCUU
This 453-nucleotide ribosomal RNA is filed under the name uncultured Allobrachymonas sp. Its description in RNAcentral is "bacterial SSU rRNA". It matches the Rfam family "Bacterial small subunit ribosomal RNA", at positions 923 to 1382 of the family's 1533-position model. Lineage: Bacteria; Pseudomonadati; Pseudomonadota; Betaproteobacteria; Burkholderiales; Comamonadaceae. The record is from RNAcentral.